Molecule: unclassified non-coding RNA, 346 nt
Filed under: soil metagenome
Description: partial contains 5.8S ribosomal RNA, internal transcribed spacer 2, and large subunit ribosomal RNA
Rfam family: 5.8S ribosomal RNA (bases 1-121)
Source: RNAcentral
GAUGAAGAACGCAGCGAAAUGCGAUAAGUAAUGCGAAUUGCAGAAUUUCCGUGAGUCAUCGAAUCUUUGAACGCACAUUGCGCCCACUGGUAUUCCGGUGGGCAUGCCUGUUCGAGCGUCAUUAUCCUCCCUCAAACCCCGGGUUUGGUGUUGGACCCAAGUUGUGUGAACAACUGGUCUCAAAGACAAUGACGGCGUCCGUGGGACCCUCGGUGCAACGAGCUUUUAGGAGCACGCGCCGAGUUGCAAGGACCUUCCGGGCCGGUCUCCUUUACCUAUUUUACAAGGUUGACCUCGGAUCAGGUAGGAAUACCCGCUGAACUUAAGCAUAUCAAUAAGCGGAGGA